ACAGGCCUGUUAUGACCCAGUCUAGGGUUAAGCCGUAACAUAAAAGGGAAGAGAGAGAUAGAGACACGUGUGCCCUUCAGAUUCCCUCGACCACGCAUACAACAUCCAGCUUCACAUUGAUCAAGAUUUAUUGAAGUUGAAACAUAAGUGAGAAAACUGAACCGAAACAACAUAGAAUAUACAAACUUCAAAAGCAGCAAGGCUUUCACUAAAGAAGCAAACCUGAGUUUGCAAAGAGUGCAACCUACCUAUACACUGAAGACUUUUCCAAUGAUGAGGAAACAUCUGCCCACUCCAAACACCCUGUGAAGACACCUAGGCAGAAAACAAGGGGGAAAAAAAGACACAUUUUGCACUUACCUGACUCUUCCAGUGACAUGGACACAUCUUCCUCUCAUGAAAACCCUGUGGAGAAACCUGUUGGGAAAAAAGGAACAACAGAUGAACAGGAUUCAACCUCAACAGUCUCUUCUAGCAAUGAUGAAAGCACUGCCUGCUCAGAAGGGAUAAGAAAAAAAGAAACACAUGCUUCAUUCUGGUCUAACCCAUCCAGUGAGAAGGAAACAUCUGUCCACUCCAAACACCCUGUGGAGAAACCUGAGAAGAAAAGUGGAAAAAAGGAACCUAUACAUACCUCAUCAGCUUUCACUCCCAGUCAAGGAACCCAAACAAGGAACAUCUAAAGUCAAAAGAGUUGGGCAUCACUUCAAACAGUCAGCAAUCAUAUGGUUGCCCUCUCAAGCACGUCAAAAUUCAGACAUGCAUUUUACUCCUAUCACAUGUAAACUUAGCUUUUUGUUCCUUUAUGUUUGCAGAAACCAUACUGAGGAAGUUCCAGAGCUUCUAUGAAGGGAGCAGACCUGACAGGAAAAAAAUAGAAAAUGUAGCUCAGUUAAAGAGUCAUGUCAUAACGUUCAUUAACCAGAGGUUAUCAGCAGGGACUUCUUCUUCAUAGCGAAUGAAGAAAGGCUCAAGUUGCAAGUCUGUUAGUGACUACUGAAAGUUUUAGUACUUUUUUAUUGUCCUGUUUGUGUGUAUCAACCAUGUUUAUUCCCUCUGCAGAUAGUUUCAGGCAGAAAGACACAAAACAGUUACAACACAGAAACAAUACAUUGUCAGUAUUCAAAAAUUCCUUUCAUUCCUAUGAGAGUUCGAAAUUGACAGAUACAUCCGCAUCAACCAAGGAACCUAUAAGUUUGUCCUCUCCAUGCUCUCAAUGGAGGUCAAGUCACUGGGAAAAGAAAUUGUGAUUCACUAGCAGAUGGUGCAUGAGAACAAAAGUGGUAUGCUCACUAUAAAAGCCAUAGAUGUUAAUUUCAUUUUUUAUCUUGAAAAUCUCCACUCAGAAUUAAGUCAAUUUUCUUUUAUAAAAAUAUGUCUUAUAGACAGAUUAUGUAAAUUUAUGGGGAAAAUUUAGAAGAAUUGUGUAUUUUUGCAAAAUUUAACUAUUUGAAAACUAAAAAUACAGGAUUGUGCUGAGGUGUAGCUAAGUGUUUGUUUUUUCUCAUCUGGGUCAUUUGAGAAAUGAGAAAUAAAAUCUGACUUAAAGUUUUAUUUUUAGUGUGGCUGCUCAGCAUGGAGGAAUUACAAAAGUUCAGAGAGAAAGCAUCUGAGGCCAUUCGGAAACUUUUGGAGGACUUGCAUUGUGCCCCUGACAACAUGACCGCCCGGCAUCUCCUGUUUGGGUUUUUGGCAAGUUAUGCAGGCUGUGUGUCAGGGCACCGCCCUUGCGUCAUUGCCAACUUGACUGUUCAAGAUCUCAAGUCUGCUAAGCAUGAAGGAGACAACUGUGUUAUAAAUGUAAAAGCACUUUAUGGAAACACUGCCUGUCAAUGUUCUUCAACUUAUGUCUUCAAAUUAUCUACCUUUCAAGACCAAACAUCAAAUAUUGUGCUCUGAGCCACAAAACCAUGGGCAGUUAUGGGACAGCACAACUUGCCCUGACUAAAAAGGAGUUUGAGAGUUUUGCUAAUCUCCAUCAACAGUUGCCAGGCUACAGGGAUGGCAUAAACACCUUGUUUUUCACAAGAACAGGCUCCGAGCUGAGAAAAAUUUCACACUACAUUUCCAUGGCCUGGAUCCAUGCAGGACUACAACCAAAUACAAUAAUGACAGACAUACAGUCAUCUAUAGCCACACACCUAUAUUCACCAUUACCGAAAGUUCUCCCUGGGCCCAAAAAGCUACAAUGCAAGAGGCGAUGAAUGAUGACUUAAAGGCAAGAAUCAGGACUGCCUUCAUGGGAAAAUGGGCCUAUCUGUCAUGGUUUGGUACAAACACAUGAAAUAGCAUGAUACUAUACAGGUUUGCUCAGUGAAGACUUUAGACUAAUGUUGCUCCCUUAAUUUUAGAUAAACAAAGUCCUCCGGGCACACUCCAUACUCCAAGACUACAAAAAAAAAGGAAUGAUGAUCUACAAUUUUGUUUCACCUAUGAAAACAAUCCAAAAGUGUGUAUUUAUUUCAUACAUUGCAAAUUUACCUGAAAAUUUUCCAUUAUCCAACAGAUAGUAAACUGAUUUAUUUUUAUUCUUACAGAGAAAUGGCCAAAGAGAUUUUGUAAAACAGAAAAAAACAAGAACUGGGCAGUUUGUGUUUUUUUUCUUUUCUUUUUUUCUGCUUGUAUCUGUUUCAAUGUUUAGAAAAACUACAGAAUUACUUUAUCAUCAUAGAAAAUGUACAAAAAUAUUUUAAAACAUCAUGUUAA
Colossoma macropomum (tambaqui) is the source of this 2706-nucleotide long non-coding RNA. RefSeq lists it as uncharacterized. Lineage: Eukaryota; Metazoa; Chordata; Actinopteri; Characiformes; Serrasalmidae. The transcript is spliced from 5 exons. The record is from RefSeq and is a predicted model, not a curated record.